This 377-nucleotide ribosomal RNA is filed under the name uncultured organism. RNAcentral's name for it is "bacterial SSU rRNA". It matches the Rfam family "Bacterial small subunit ribosomal RNA", at positions 526 to 896 of the family's 1533-position model. The record is from RNAcentral.
CAGAGGAGCCAAGCGUUGUCCGGAUUGACUGGGCGUAAAGCGCACGCAGGCGGUCGCGCGCGUGGGGUGUGAAAUCUGGCCGCUUAACGGCCAGGCGCCAUCCCAUACGGCGCGACUGGAGUGAUGCAGAGGUCGAUGGAAUUGCCGGUGUAGUGGUGAAAUGCGUAGAGAUCGGCAGGAACACCCAGGGGGAAACCAGUCGACUGGGCAUCUACUGACGCUGAGGUGCGAGAGCGUGGGGAGCGAACCGGAUUAGAUACCCGGGUAGUCCACGCCGUAAACGAUGGCCACUCGGCCUUUGGUGGCGGAACCUCCGUCGCUGGGGGCCUUAGCUAACGCGGGAAGUGGCCCGCCUGGGAACUACGAGCGCAAGCUUA